Molecule: ribosomal RNA, 265 nt
Filed under: uncultured prokaryote
Description: partial 16S ribosomal RNA
Rfam family: Bacterial small subunit ribosomal RNA
Source: RNAcentral
UACGUAGGUGGCAAGCGUUGUCCGGAAUUACUGGGUGUAAAGGGCGUGUAGGCGGGAAGGCAAGUCAGAUGUGAAAGCCCAUGGCUUAACUGUGGAACUGCAUCUGAAACUGUUUUUCUUGAGUACUGGAGAGGAAAGUGGAAUUCCUAGUGUAGCGGUGAAAUGCGUAGAGAUUAGGAGGAACACCAGUGGCGAAGGCGGCUUUCUGGACAGUAACUGACGCUGAGGCGCGAAUGCGUGGGGAGCAAACAGGAUUAGAUACCCU